Molecule: long non-coding RNA, 1065 nt
Organism: Dreissena polymorpha
Lineage: Eukaryota; Metazoa; Mollusca; Bivalvia; Myida; Dreissenidae
Exons: 4
Source: RefSeq, a predicted model, not a curated record
AGAGAAUAAACUUUUUUUCAUUUGUAUGAUAAUGGAUUGUCUAGCCGUUAAAAGGAUAAGUAUUUCUUUUCAUUUGCUCGAUUUUCAUAAAACCAAAUGUUCUAUCGUUUCUUUUAAAGUACGACAGUUUCAUUGCCAUUAUAGCUUAAAUUUUAAAGGUUGAAAUAGUAGUCGGACAUUACAUAUUUCGGACGUUGCUAAACAUGUUUGUUUUCGACACAGUUUAAUGAUUUUUGUUCAGAUAAAGUUUUAAAGUUGUUGUACUUGUAAUGAUUCACGGUAGUAUGUCUGGAAUAUCUUCUCUGAUGAUUAGAAGUCUUAAACUUAUCAUACAUGAGCAUUACCAAUGUUCUGUCAAAAUAAGAUAUAGGAAUUUACAAAAUACAUGAACACGAAUAUGUUCAGCUGAGCAACUUCAAUCCCACAAUGAUGUCUGGUUAGCACAGUGGUUGAUUCACAUUUUCACGUAGCCAAGGUGGUCUAUAUUGACCACACCACAAUUGAAUAUAUUUCAAUAAAAAAUAAUAAUCUGGAAUUGGUUGUCAGACAUGCACUUUAUUAUAAAACAACUAUGUCCCUGUGUGAUGUACUGUUAUAUGCUCAAUAAUCACAGACAAUUGAAAUACCCAUCAGUGUAAAAAUUAGUACCAAAUUUGCAAGGAUGUUAAGUUUAAAUAAUGCUUGCUUACUUUUCAUCAUUCCCAUUUGUCUGAUUUACUUAUAUUUGUUUUGUGUGAUUGUAUUAAAUGAUCAUAUUUGAAACAAACUCUUGUGCAUUAUUUUGGUAGGUGCUUGUGAGUCUAAGGUACUUGGCGAAAGGUGAUUUUCUGUCUGAGGUUGCUGACCUUCAUGGAAUUAGCAGGUCCAGUGCAUGCAAUAUUAUUGCAGCCUUUGUUGAUGCUGUUAAUUUAAGAAUUGAUAAUGUAAAGUUCAUUGACAUUGUGUCGAAAUGGCCUGGGUCUACGCAUGAUGCCUCUGCCUUUGACAGCUGUGGGUUGAAGACCUUUCUGGAAGAACACCACCAAGGGCACUUGCUGGGCGACUCGGGCUAUCCCUUGAAAAAAU